This 3027-nucleotide ribosomal RNA is filed under the name Triticum aestivum (bread wheat). RNAcentral's name for it is "partial small subunit ribosomal RNA". The record is from RNAcentral. Lineage: Eukaryota; Viridiplantae; Streptophyta; Magnoliopsida; Poales; Poaceae.
AUGGACACGCGGUGGCGAGUGUCGUACGCGGCGGAUCUGGUGCGCCGCACGGCCACGUUCCACGACGGCGAAAUCUUCCUUCGUGACGACAUCCAGCGGCUCGUCCUCCUUGAUUCUCGCGGGUGCACGGUGGAUGCACGCUAUGUGCAUGAGGGGGAAUGGAUCGACGUAGGUUGCUUCGUCUCCUUCCCAUGCCAUUUCGCCAGGAUCGAGGACCGCCUGCCGGUGAUUGGCUCGUCGCGCGGUGCUCCGACGUGCGCCGACGAGACGACGGUGCGCACGGACCGCGCUGAUCUGGAGGAAAAGGGGGCGGUACACGGGGACAAGGUUGAGGUGGUUGUGCACGCCCCCCCCCCCGACCUCCACCACGACUGGACAGGAGACCCGGGGUGCUCGGGCGUGGCCCCAACCGCCAUGGCCCGGAUCCUCGACACGUGGGAGCAGCGGACAUCAACCGCCCGGAUCCGUCGAGAGCUAGGGUUUCGGCCCACGCCCCAGAUCGGCGCUACCCCACCUCCACCCAAAGAUCCAGAUCCGAAGCAAGGUCACGGAAGCGGAGAGAUGAGGGGGGAUGGCUUUGGCGCUGGCAGGCAUGGCCGCGGGGCGGGACGGUUCGACCGCGGCGGUGGCCGUGGACGGGACAACAACGUGUGGAAGCGCAAGGAGGACGUGGGGCAGUCCUCGACCACCAGGGUGUCGGACUCCGGCGACACGAGCUUCGACAAGUGGGAAGUCGCGGCGGGUGCGGGAGGAUCUGGGCCACCGCGCCUGGACCGCUGGUCCUCUGCUGUCGACGGCGACGGCGGGGACCAGAACACUCGACGGCUGCAAGGGAAAACGCCUGCGCCUGCUGCGGGGCGAGACCCAAGCACCCCCGCCGGUAACCCUAACCCUACUCCUGAUGCAUGUCAGAUCUGCAAUGCUUUUGGUCAUUACACGGCUAGAUGCCCCCAGGCUCUCUGUGAGCGAUGCAAGAAGAGAGAUCACUUGUCGAUUAUUUGCGCUGAAUUUCUUCCUUGGGAAUGUAUUCCUGCUAUGUGUGGCUUUCAAUCCAAGGGGCAGGGUUUCUGCUACUUUCCUGAUUUUAGUGUAGAGAGACAACCGCAGAGAGAGAACACCAAUGUGCUCAUUACCAUUGUAGAAGGGACCAUAACUAAACAAGAUCUGCAGGAUGAUAUGGGGGUGUACAUUGGGCAGGGCUGGAGAUGUUCCGCACAUCUCGUGGCCCCUAACAAAUAUGUUAUGAGGUUACCUAACGUGAGAGAGGUUGAACAUGCUUUGUUUGUGGAAUACAUAAACCUCAAAAAGCACCAAACUGUGGUCAGAAUCACACCAUGGUCUGAUGACAUGGAUUGUGAGGGUCUACUUGAGAUUGCCUGGGUGAAAAUUAGUAAGAUACCUCUUAAUAAAAGAUGUGACAAGAAUGUGGCUUAUGCUGGUGGGCUUGUUGGGGUGACGUUAGAGAUAGAUAUGUCUACUAUCAAACACCCCUCGUCUGUUCGGGUUAAGAUUGGAUGUUGCAGUAUUGAUAAUCUUCCUGUUUCUGCAGAGGGUUGCAUGGGGGGCCGUUUUUACAAAUUCCUAUAUGAAGUAGAGGAAGUUCUGGUGAGAAACCCGGUGAAGGAAGAUGAUUCUGUGCCUGUUAGAAAUGAUCAGAAAGAAUCCCUGCUGUCCACUCCGAAGAGGAAGAGGCAGGACGGGGGAACUGAGCCAUCUAAGAGUGUUCAUGCUCCUGCUGAGCAUGGUACAUCUUCCUUCAGGGGAGGGAAGGCCUGUCGCCUGCUCCCUCUUGAAAAAGAGAAGGAAAAUGAGGAGGACAACUUGUCAGACUCUUAUGAAAGUGAUGAUGAUAAAACUUUAUUUAUUGAGAAGCUGGCCAAUGAGAAUUCUGCUCAAGAGGGCUAUGAAGAGAAAUCAGAUGGAGGAAAAAUCGCUGAUCAUGAGGAAAAAACACCUGACAAGAGCACUGGUGUGCAAACACUGCAGGUGAAUGUACUUCCUUUGAUUGAGAAGAAAUGCUCAUAUGUGGAGGUAGUAACUGGUGUUUCGCAGGUCUCAGAAGUGACAGGAGAGGUGGAUCCUAAGCUGAAGGAGAGGCAGGGAGACAUGAUGCAAAAAGCUAUGGAAGUGGCCAAGAAGAAAAAUCUGGAAAGGUGGGGGUCCAAUAAGUACGGCCAUACCAAGAAAAGAAAAGAAGAAUUAAGAGUAGAAUUGUCCACUCUUGAGGAGCUUGAGGAGGAGGGACCUCUGACCCCUGAGAUGUAUAGUAGAAAGGUGGAUAUUAAUUUUGAGCUUCAUGAGAUUCUGGUGAAUGAGGAGAUUUUCUGGCUGCAACAAUCUCAUGAGCGUUGGCUGCUCAAAGGGGAUUUGAACACAGAUUACUUUCAUAAAAUUGCAAAUGGGAGAAAAAGGAAGAAUACCAUUCAUGCCCUCAAGUAUGGUGAUGUUGAGAUAGAAGGGGACACUGACAUUGAUAGCAAGUAUGCCGAGAUCUUUAACUGCGAGAUUGGGCACUUUCCAAUUAAAUAUCUUGGUAUGCCUGAUUCUUAUACUUUCAGGCCAUUGCCAAUGGCCGCCGUAGACGCAACACCACCCCCCUUCUCUGGGAUGGCGCGACCCUCCUGCAGUCUCUCAGUGACAUUCGAGCCCAUGUCGACGGGUUCUACAGGUCCCUGUUCUUCGCCGCUCCUAGGAGCGGCCUUUUCUCUGGCUCCUGAUUGUUGGACCGGCCUCCAGCUAGUUUCCGAUGCGGAGAACGCGGCCCUUACGGCCCCCUUCUCCGAGGGCGAGGUCUGGGCGGCCAUUAGAGGCAUGAACCCUACCUCGGCCCCAGGCCCGGAUGGCCUCCCGGUUAAAUUCUUCCAGACCUUUUGGAAUGUGAUUAAGCCUGAGAUCAUGGUCAUCUUCGACGAGUUCUACGUUGGGUCCAUCGACCUCGGGCGCCUCAACUACGGGAUCAUUUCGCUCAUCCCCAAGGUGUCCGGGGCCUCCGACAUUCGCCAGUUUCGAUCACGGUUAUCAAUGUGA